GAGUUUGAUCCUGGCUCAGGAUGAACGCUGGCGGCGCGCCUAACACAUGCAAGUCGAACGAGAAUCUACUGAAAGAGUUUUCGGACAAUGGAAGUAGAGGAAAGUGGCGGACGGGUGAGUAACGCGUGAGGAACCUGCCUUGAAGAGGGGGACAACAGUUGGAAACGACUGCUAAUACCGCAUAAGCCCACGGCUCGGCAUCGAGCAGAGGGAAAAGGAGCAAUCCGCUUUGAGAUGGCCUCGCGUCCGAUUAGCUAGUUGGUGAGGUAAUGGCCCACCAAGGCGACGAUCGGUAGCCGGACUGAGAGGUUGAACGGCCACAUUGGGACUGAGACACGGCCCAGACUCCUACGGGAGGCAGCAGUGGGGGAUAUUGCACAAUGGGGGAAACCCUGAUGCAGCGACGCCGCGUGGAGGAAGAAGGUUUUCGGAUUGUAAACUCCUGUCGUUAGGGACGAUAAUGACGGUACCUAACAAGAAAGCACCGGCUAACUACGUGCCAGCCGCCGCGGUAAUUC
Molecule: ribosomal RNA, 518 nt
Filed under: uncultured bacterium
Lineage: Bacteria
Description: bacterial SSU rRNA
Rfam family: Bacterial small subunit ribosomal RNA
Source: RNAcentral